GGGUUGUGAGGUUAAGCGACUAAGCGUACACGGUGGAUGCCCUGGCAGUCAGAGGCGAUGAAGGACGUGCUAAUCUGCGAUAAGCGUCGGUAAGGUGAUAUGAACCGUUAUAACCGGCGAUUUCCGAAUGGGGAAACCCAGUGUGUUUCGACACACUAUCAUUAACUGAAUCCAUAGGUUAAUGAGGCGAACCGGGGGAACUGAAACAUCUAAGUACCCCGAGGAAAAGAAAUCAACCGAGAUUCCCCCAGUAGCGGCGAGCGAACGGGGAGCAGCCCAGAGCCUGAAUCAGUGUGUGUGUUAGUGGAAGCGUCUGGAAAGGCGCGCGAUACAGGGUGACAGCCCCGUACACAAAAAUGCACAUGCUGUGAGCUCGAUGAGUAGGGCGGGACACGUGGUAUCCUGUCUGAAUAUGGGGGGACCAUCCUCCAAGGCUAAAUACUCCUGACUGACCGAUAGUGAACCAGUACCGUGAGGGAAAGGCGAAAAGAACCCCGGCGAGGGGAGUGAAAAAGAACCUGAAACCGUGUACGUACAAGCAGUGGGAGCCUCUUUAUGGGGUGACUGCGUACCUUUUGUAUAAUGGGUCAGCGACUUAUAUUCUGUAGCAAGGUUAACCGAAUAGGGGAGCCGAAGGGAAACCGAGUCUUAACUGGGCGUUAAGUUGCAGGGUAUAGACCCGAAACCCGGUGAUCUAGCCAUGGGCAGGUUGAAGGUUGGGUAACACUAACUGGAGGACCGAACCGACUAAUGUUGAAAAAUUAGCGGAUGACUUGUGGCUGGGGGUGAAAGGCCAAUCAAACCGGGAGAUAGCUGGUUCUCCCCGAAAGCUAUUUAGGUAGCGCCUCGUGAACUCAUCUCCGGGGGUAGAGCACUGUUUCGGCAAGGGGGUCAUCCCGACUUACCAACCCGAUGCAAACUGCGAAUACCGGAGAAUGUUAUCACGGGAGACACACGGCGGGUGCUAACGUCCGUCGUGAAGAGGGAAACAACCCAGACCGCCAGCUAAGGUCCCAAAGUCAUGGUUAAGUGGGAAACGAUGUGGGAAGGCCCAGACAGCCAGGAUGUUGGCUUAGAAGCAGCCAUCAUUUAAAGAAAGCGUAAUAGCUCACUGGUCGAGUCGGCCUGCGCGGAAGAUGUAACGGGGCUAAACCAUGCACCGAAGCUGCGGCAGCGACACUAUGUGUUGUUGGGUAGGGGAGCGUUCUGUAAGCCUGUGAAGGUGUACUGUGAGGUAUGCUGGAGGUAUCAGAAGUGCGAAUGCUGACAUAAGUAACGAUAAAGCGGGUGAAAAGCCCGCUCGCCGGAAGACCAAGGGUUCCUGUCCAACGUUAAUCGGGGCAGGGUGAGUCGACCCCUAAGGCGAGGCCGAAAGGCGUAGUCGAUGGGAAACAGGUUAAUAUUCCUGUACUUGGUGUUACUGCGAAGGGGGGACGGAGAAGGCUAUGUUGGCCGGGCGACGGUUGUCCCGGUUUAAGCGUGUAGGCUGGUUUUCCAGGCAAAUCCGGAAAAUCAAGGCUGAGGCGUGAUGACGAGGCACUACGGUGCUGAAGCAACAAAUGCCCUGCUUCCAGGAAAAGCCUCUAAGCAUCAGGUAACAUCAAAUCGUACCCCAAACCGACACAGGUGGUCAGGUAGAGAAUACCAAGGCGCUUGAGAGAACUCGGGUGAAGGAACUAGGCAAAAUGGUGCCGUAACUUCGGGAGAAGGCACGCUGAUAUGUAGGUGAAGUCCCUCGCGGAUGGAGCUGAAAUCAGUCGAAGAUACCAGCUGGCUGCAACUGUUUAUUAAAAACACAGCACUGUGCAAACACGAAAGUGGACGUAUACGGUGUGACGCCUGCCCGGUGCCGGAAGGUUAAUUGAUGGGGUCAGCGCAAGCGAAGCUCUUGAUCGAAGCCCCGGUAAACGGCGGCCGUAACUAUAACGGUCCUAAGGUAGCGAAAUUCCUUGUCGGGUAAGUUCCGACCUGCACGAAUGGCGUAAUGAUGGCCAGGCUGUCUCCACCCGAGACUCAGUGAAAUUGAACUCGCUGUGAAGAUGCAGUGUACCCGCGGCAAGACGGAAAGACCCCGUGAACCUUUACUAUAGCUUGACACUGAACAUUGAGCCUUGAUGUGUAGGAUAGGUGGGAGGCUUGGAAGUGUGGACGCCAGUCUGCAUGGAGCCGACCUUGAAAUACCACCCUUUAAUGUUUGAUGUUCUAACGUUGACCCGUAAUCCGGGUUGCGGACAGUGUCUGGUGGGUAGUUUGACUGGGGCGGUCUCCUCCUAAAGAGUAACGGAGGAGCACGAAGGUUGGCUAAUCCUGGUCGGACAUCAGGAGGUUAGUGCAAUGGCAUAAGCCAGCUUGACUGCGAGCGUGACGGCGCGAGCAGGUGCGAAAGCAGGUCAUAGUGAUCCGGUGGUUCUGAAUGGAAGGGCCAUCGCUCAACGGAUAAAAGGUACUCCGGGGAUAACAGGCUGAUACCGCCCAAGAGUUCAUAUCGACGGCGGUGUUUGGCACCUCGAUGUCGGCUCAUCACAUCCUGGGGCUGAAGUAGGUCCCAAGGGUAUGGCUGUUCGCCAUUUAAAGUGGUACGCGAGCUGGGUUUAGAACGUCGUGAGACAGUUCGGUCCCUAUCUGCCGUGGGCGCUGGAGAACUGAGGGGGGCUGCUCCUAGUACGAGAGGACCGGAGUGGACGCAUCACUGGUGUUCGGGUUGUCAUGCCAAUGGCACUGCCCGGUAGCUAAAUGCGGAAGAGAUAAGUGCUGAAAGCAUCUAAGCACGAAACUUGCCCCGAGAUGAGUUCUCCCUGACUCCUUGAGAGUCCUGAAGGAACGUUGAAGACGACGACGUUGAUAGGCCGGGUGUGUAAGCGCAGCGAUGCGUUGAGCUAACCGGUACUAAUGAGCCGUGAGGCUUAACCUUACAACGCCGAAG
This 2923-nucleotide ribosomal RNA is filed under the name Escherichia coli. RNAcentral describes it as "23S ribosomal RNA". It matches the Rfam family "Bacterial large subunit ribosomal RNA". Lineage: Bacteria; Pseudomonadati; Pseudomonadota; Gammaproteobacteria; Enterobacterales; Enterobacteriaceae. The record is from RNAcentral.